GCCCCAUACAUUGGGAUAGCCCUGGGAAACUGGGUGUAAUACCGAAUAACACUUUGAAAUGGCAUCUUUUCAAAGUCAAAACUCCGGUGGUAUGGGAUGGGCCUGCGUCUGAUUAGCUAGUUGGUAAGGUAAUGGCUUACCAAGGCGACGAUCAGUAGCCGACCUGAGAGGGUGAUCGGCCACACUGGAACUGAGACACGGUCCAGACUCCUACGGGAGGCAGCAGUGGGGAAUAUUGCACAAUGGGCGAAAGCCUGAUGCAGCAACGUCGCGUGAGUGAUGAAGGCUUUCGGGUCGUAAAACUCUGUCCUANAGGAAGAAUAAUGACGGUACUUUAGGAGGAAGCCCCGGCUAACUACGUGCCAGCAGCCGCGGUAAUACGUAGGGGGCAAGCGUUAUCCGGAUUUACUGGGCGUAAAG
Molecule: ribosomal RNA, 420 nt
Filed under: uncultured bacterium
Lineage: Bacteria
Description: bacterial SSU rRNA
Rfam family: Bacterial small subunit ribosomal RNA
Source: RNAcentral